AGAUGAAGUGCUUGCACUUCUGACGUUAGCGGCGAACGGGUGAGUUAACACGUAAGGAAUCUACCGUAUAAAGCGGGGGAUACAUUCGGAAACGGGUGCUAAUACCGCAUAAUAUCUUCUUCCGCAUGGAAGAAGAUUGAAAGACGGCUCUGCUGUCACUUAUAGAUGACCUUGCGGUGCAUUAGUUAGUUGGUGGGGUAAUGGCCUACCAAGACGAUGAUGCAUAGCCGACCUGAGAGGGUGAUCGGCCACAUUGGGACUGAGACACGGCCCAAACUCCUACGGGAGGCAGCAGUAGGGAAUCUUCCGCAAUGGGCGAAAGCCUGACGGAGCAAUGCCGCGUGAGUGAAGAAGGCCUUCGGGUCGUAAAACUCUGUUAUAAGAGAAGAACAAAUUGUAGAGUAACUGCUACAGUCUUGACGGUAUCUUAUCAGAAAGCCACGGCUAACUACGUG
This 455-nucleotide ribosomal RNA is filed under the name uncultured bacterium. RNAcentral describes it as "bacterial SSU rRNA". It matches the Rfam family "Bacterial small subunit ribosomal RNA", at positions 69 to 507 of the family's 1533-position model. The record is from RNAcentral.